GGGCGCCGAGCCCACCGCCUGCAACAGCGACAACCGCCGGAGCGCAGCGGGGCCGCGGCCGCCCGCCUCCGCCUCCCCGGCGCCCNNNNNNNNNNNNNNNNNNNNNNNNNNNNNNNNNNNNNNNNNNNNNNNNNNNNNNNNNNNNNNNNNNNNNNNNNNNNNNNNNNNNNNNNNNNNNNNNNNNNCGCGGUACCUGGGCCGCGCGCGGCGCUCCUCCCCGUCCGCCUCCUCGCUCAUGGCGGUCAGCGGGUGGUGUGCGGGUCUCGCCUUUUAUUACGAAAGAAGCUGGACGUAAAAAGCACAAGCAUUAUUUCCUGGACGCGGACAGCCGAGCCCAGCGCGCCCUCUCGGCACGAGCCGCCCCGCCUGCUGCGGGCUCCGGGACAGCGCGGUCGGCAGCCGUCGCGGGCGCCCGGGCGACGGACCUGGAUGAUAACAGACAUCCUCAAACGUGAAGAUUUGGUUUGUAAAACGUAUAGGAAGAAGUCCACACAGCGGAGAUGGAGCAGCAGCUCAAAAAGCAGAGUAGAUCUUUUGUCAUCUCACUCGUGCUCUGGGUUGCCGGAUGGGUAUGAGCUCCUCGCUGCUCAUGUGGAAGACUCAUGUGGAAGGGGUGGACCACCAGCCUCAGCCCAGCCCUGUAACUCAGGACUCCAGGUCCCUAUCUCCAUUCUCCAGGUAAGGGUGGUCUUGCCUCUCCCUGUGUGUUAUUCUUACCUUCCAUGGGUGACUUGCACUUCAUUUUCCUCAAGCUAAUCAGUUUUAAGCUUGCUUCCCCGGAGCUGGGGAUGUGGCACAGUGGGACAGUGCUAGCCUAUCACUUCUUCAAGGCCUCAGCACCGCACUCAUAAAUAAAUACUUCACCCAAAGGAAGUAAUCAUCAAAACUUGAGCUCCAAAGUUCAAAGCAUGGCUCUGCUCCUUUAUGUGCUUCUUGCCAACUCAUUUGCCACUUUAAAGAAAACUACAAGAAAUAAAAUUCUGUUAUUUUAGGUUAUCUCCAUGCACACCUUGCUAGAAGCCUGACAGGCAUGCAGAAGUCUGCUUUUAACCAACUUCUCCAUUGUUGGUUAAUUCUAAUUUGAAUUUCAAAAAAUAGGAGCGGUGGCUAAUUUUCUUUUAACCCAGAAUGAGCUUGCUGACUGGUUUCACGUGGAAGGGUUGUGACUGGCAGGCCAGGGCCAGGGGCAACAGGAAGACUGACUGGAUCCCAUCCUGAAACCCACAUGUACCUCCUGUCCGCCCAGGACACUGCUGACCUCCUCACCUCCCCUGUCUACCUCACCUGGCCAGAGGUCCACCCCACAGUGCUGCUCUCUCCUCUACUACCAGGUAUUUCAUCUGUAACACAAAGCGGACUCCAGGAAAUUUUUCACAAGUUGUCUUUUUUGAAGGGCUUACUGGGCUGCUGGAUUCCUGGACUAAGUAUGAAAAACUUAAAUUUUUAAAAGCAAUGUAAACAAUAAUAGGCAAAUUCAUAAUAGCACUUCCAAAGACAAAUCACAUGGGUGGACAGUGUUCUUGGAGUUUAGGUUCUCAGGACUUCUUUAUGGACAUAACGGUGCUGUCUGGCUGAGGGGACUGUACACAGUGGGAAAAGGCUCUACUGGGCCAUGGUGGACUCUAGUUUUCACUGAAGACCUAGACAGUGAGGCCUGAGGUGUGCAGCACAAAACCAGGAAGAGGCACAGAACAGCAUGGAGCCAGGAGCCAAGAAAGCCCAGUGAACUGAAGCCAUGGGCCAGCCCCACAGCACUCCAAUCUUACAAAGUGUGUGUGGGACAUGCUGGGGCUUGAAUAGCAGACUCUGCACAGCUUGGGAAGGUAGCUGGGGUUUGGCAGUCAGAGCAAAUCUUAGGGUGGUUGGUUGAUUAUGAAUGAGGAAGUGGAGUAGGUGCGUUCUUGGGAGGCCCAACAGAACCAGUCUUUGGUGUCAAUCACAGUCAAGGGGUCUGAUGAGUCCAGCUGUCCUAUUAUAGAUCCCAUUGCCCCAGGAGAUCAUUUUGGAAAGAUCACUGAAGGGGAGGCUGGCACAUUGGCUGGGACAUUGGGGUCCCUGCUAGGCUGAUAGAUGGAAGAGCAGGAGGCUGAAAGAGCAGGUGGGGCUGUUCUCAGUGGUGGCCACUGUCAGUGUCCACCACUGAUCAUGAUCUCCGUCAAGUCCUAACCAAGGCCUCUUGGGGAAGUGAACAGUGUCAGGGAUCUUCUUGGUUAUGUUGAUGAGCAACUCCUACUGGAAUCUGUACAGCUCCUCUAAGUUCAGGGACAAUUGGGGCAUCAGACAACUCCAGAAAGCCAUAUACCCUGUUUGCAUUUCAAAGAAGAAUAAAAACCAGAUCCAAAGGAGAGUAAACCCAGGCCUGGAGACUCCAAGGUAUGUGUCUCCACCCCAAAGGGACCCUUCCAGCCUCUUUUCAAAGAGACUGGGCAGGGAUAGCUUUCUUUCCAGCUUUCAGAAGGCACAGUACUACCUGUCCUGGGUAACCUGCUGGACUGGUCAUUCCUGUGUCCUCCUCUGUACAAGGAGCACCUUCAGCCCCAGGCCCCACCAUCUGCCUCUCAGCACAUCGCCCCAGGAGGCAUCGAUGUAACAGGGAACAAUCUGUGGUCCAACCCAAGCUCUUGAGACCAGAGCCCUCUGAAGCACAGGGAGUCUGGGCCCACUGAGGGUGCCGCUGGGAAGCACCAGGGUGUGGAUGCGGCCUGUGACCACCAGCACCAAGGCUGGGCAGACUGGAAGGUCCAUGAAUCUGGUGCUGAGAGUGUUCUCACCACGGACUCCACUGGAGAAGCAAGCACAGGUCAUUCAUUCGCACUGAACCUGCAUCGGUUCUAGGUGUGACAGGCAAAACGGGGUGGGAGCAUCGCUUCUGCAGGGUAGAUUGGGAUUAAAAGGCAGGAGUUCAGUGGGCACAGGUGCACUGGUCUUG
Molecule: long non-coding RNA, 2929 nt
Filed under: Chinchilla lanigera (long-tailed chinchilla)
Lineage: Eukaryota; Metazoa; Chordata; Mammalia; Rodentia; Chinchillidae
Description: lncRNA (ENSCLAG00000027847.1)
Source: RNAcentral